UACGUAGGCAGCAAGCGUUGUUCGGAGUUACUGGGCGUAAAGGGUGCGUAGGCGGCCUUGUAAGUAUGGUGUGAAAUCUCCCGGCUUAACUGGGAGGGUGCGCUAUUAACUGCAGGGCUAGAGUGCGGGAGAGGAAAGUGGAAUUCCUGGUGUAGCGGUGAAAUGCGUAGAUAUCAGGAGGAACACCGGUGGUGUAAACGGCUUUCUGGACCGUAACUGACGCUGAGGCACGAAAGCGUGGGUAGCAAACAGG
Molecule: ribosomal RNA, 253 nt
Filed under: uncultured bacterium
Lineage: Bacteria
Description: partial 16S ribosomal RNA
Rfam family: Bacterial small subunit ribosomal RNA
Source: RNAcentral